AUUGAACGCUGGCGGCAUGCCUUACACAUGCAAGUCGAACGGCAGCACGGGGGCAACCCUGGUGGCGAGUGGCGAACGGGUGAGUAAUACAUCGGAACGUGCCCCGUAGCGGGGGACAACCAGUCGAAAGACUGGCUAAUACCGCAUACGCUCCACGGAGGAAAGCAGGGGAUCGCAAGACCUUGCACUAUGGGAGCGGCCGAUGCCCGAUUAGCUAGUUGGUGAGGUAAAGGCUCACCAAGGCAACGAUCGGUAGCUGGUCUGAGAGGACGACCAGCCACACUGGGACUGAGACACGGCCCAGACUCCUACGGGAGGCAGCAGUGGGGAAUUGUUCGCAAUGGGCGCAAGCCUGACGACGCAACGCCGCGUGGAGGACGAAGAUCUUCGGGUCGUAAACUCCUGUCGAGCGGGACGAAUGGCCCGCGGA
RNAcentral lists this ribosomal RNA (430 nucleotides) under uncultured bacterium. RNAcentral describes it as "bacterial SSU rRNA". It matches the Rfam family "Bacterial small subunit ribosomal RNA", at positions 29 to 460 of the family's 1533-position model. The record is from RNAcentral.